Molecule: ribosomal RNA, 544 nt
Filed under: uncultured bacterium
Lineage: Bacteria
Description: bacterial SSU rRNA
Rfam family: Bacterial small subunit ribosomal RNA
Source: RNAcentral
UAAAACGAAUGUCGACUUGGAGGUUGUGGCUUCCGGAGCUAACGCGUUAAGUCGACCGCCUGGGGAGUACGGCCGCAAGGUUAAAACUCAAAUGAAUUGACGGGGGCCCGCACAAGCGGUGGAGCAUGUGGUUAAUUUCGAUGCAACGCGAAGAACCUUACCUGGUCUUGACAUCCAGGUGCUGCAUGGCUGUCGUCAGCUCGUGUUGUGAAAUGUUGGGUUAAGUCCCGCAACGAGCGCAACCCUUAUCCUUUGUUGCAACUCAAAGGAGACUGCCAGUGAUAAACUGGAGGAAGGUGGGGAUGACGUCAAGUCAUCAUGGCCCUUACGACCAGGGCUACACACGUGCUACAAUGGCGCAUACAAAGAGAAGCGACCUCGCGAGAGCAAGCGGACCUCAUAAAGUGCGUCGUAGUCCGGAUUGGAGUCUGCAACUCGACUCCAUGAAGUCGGAAUCGCUAGUAAUCGUGGAUCAGAUGCCACGGUGAAUACGUUCCCGGGCCUUGUACACACCGCCCGUCACACCAUGGGAGUGGGUUGCAAA